This is a non-coding RNA of Electrophorus electricus (electric eel), 1542 nucleotides long. Lineage: Eukaryota; Metazoa; Chordata; Actinopteri; Gymnotiformes; Gymnotidae. The record is from RefSeq and is a predicted model, not a curated record.
CCACUCGCUUGGCUGUCGCUUGCUCGUAGUUUUGAGAGAAGUUUAUCAGUUCUAUGUAUUUUGAAUUUAUUGUAUAGUACGAUUGUGCCAAGUACUAUAUUUUCGUAAUACUCGCUGAGAGGGAAUCUGACAUUAAAUGCGGUUAUAUAAAAUAACAUGCGUUGCCAUAACCAUCAGGUUGCAGAUAGCAGCAAUAAUUCUGAUCAUAACAUUAUGAAGCAGGUCCGAUUUGCAAGUGAUAAUAAUUCGAACAGUGAGUCCCAGGAGAAGCCGUGUGAAACCGGAGUAAACGGCGAUUUGCAGAUCCAGUUUGGGCCUCAGCUGAAGCUGUUGUCCCGCAAUGACCGUGAACUACAGACUAUUAUAAGGGACAAAUUAUAAAUGUUCUUCAGUUUAAACAUUAUAUUAAUCUGUUAAAAUAGAUUUUGUGUGUAACGUUUCCCCACAGGACAACUAGCAGAGGGGAGUUUGUGUUCUUUAGUCACAGUAACUAAGGAAUUGUAUCGUCAUAAUAUUGCCUUUCCUGACUGACCUCAACAGAACAGAACUGAAAUAUCUGUUGAAAUUAAGCCCUCAAAGUACCAGUAUUUGGAUCAAAAUUGUAAACACAGUAAUCCAAACUACUCUAAAUUUGUUCAUAGAUUAGACUUGUAGUGGAAGAAGGACUAAAUCAGCUCCCAUAUACUGAAUGUAUAGUGACCACACCAACAGGACACAAGUAUGAAGGAGUCAAAUUUGAGAGAGGCAACUGUGGCAUCAGCAUAAUGAGGAGUGGAGAGGCAAUGGAGCAAGGCCUAAGGGACUGCUGCAGAUCUAUCCGCAUUGGCAAGAUUCUUAUACAAUGUGAUGAGACACUGAAAGCCAAGGUGUACUAUGCAAAGCUUCCCCCAGACAUUUACAGAAGGGACAUCAACAUACAACCCACAAACCUGAAUUGGAUUAAGUGGUUUAGAAGAUGAAUGAAUGAAUGAAUGAACAUCAAUCUACUAUGCAUUGCUGUCACAAUUAGGUGAAGGGCAUAUCAGUGUACCUGAUAAAGGACAAAUUAACAGAAAUAGACACUGGCCAUUUGAAAUACAAAAAGCAUAAUGCAAGCUUGUUUGUGAAGUUAGAUAACAUGACUUCCCUGUGUCGUGAAUGUUGACCUGCAGGUAAUGGGAACACAGUGAUCAAAGCAGUCCGAGUGCUCAAUGAACAUGUUGUUCAGCCCUUACAUAUCAUCCUCCUCAGCCUCUUUUCCACCCCUCAUGGUAAGAAAGUGAACACUGAACAACAGAGAUUAUUUGGCACACAAAACAGUGCGUUUUUAUAAAUGUGUUUCAAUGCGUCAUUUUAGUGGUUAGGUCCAUUACUGAAGUUUCCAGACAUCACCAUACUAACCACUGAGGUCCAUCCUAUAGCUCCCUCUCACUUUGGACAGAAGUACUUUGGGACAGAAUAAAGCUAAUUUUAUGUUUCUUAGAGCUAUUGGACAUUUGAUAAGGUACUUGAUUUGUAAUUGGACGUUUGCUGGUUCAAGCCCCACCACUACCAAAUUGCCAC